UAGGGAAUAUUGGGCAAUGGGCGGAAGCCUGACCCAGCCAUGCCGCGUGCAGGAUGAAGGCCUUCUGGGUUGUAAACUGCUUUUACCAGGGACGAAAACACCCAUGCGUGGGGAACUGACGGUACCUGGGGAAUAAGCACCGGCUAACUCCGUGCCAGCAGCCGCGGUAAUACGGAGGGUGCAAGCGUUGUCCGGAUUUAUUGGGUUUAAAGGGUGCGUAGGCGGCCCCUUAAGUCAGUGGUGAAAGCCCGCGGCUCAACCGCGGAACUGCCAUUGAUACUGGGGGGCUUGAGUACAGACGAGGUAGGCGGAAUUGAAGAUGUAGCGGUGAAAUGCUUAGAUAUCUUCAAGAACACCGAUUGCGUAGGCAGCUUACUAGGCUGUAACUGACGCUGAGGCACGAAAGCGUGGGGAGCGAA
Molecule: ribosomal RNA, 419 nt
Filed under: uncultured bacterium
Lineage: Bacteria
Description: bacterial SSU rRNA
Rfam family: Bacterial small subunit ribosomal RNA
Source: RNAcentral